RNAcentral lists this ribosomal RNA (602 nucleotides) under Nocardiaceae bacterium. RNAcentral describes it as "bacterial SSU rRNA". It matches the Rfam family "Bacterial small subunit ribosomal RNA", at positions 275 to 888 of the family's 1533-position model. Lineage: Bacteria; Bacillati; Actinomycetota; Actinomycetes; Mycobacteriales; Nocardiaceae. The record is from RNAcentral.
GUCGACGGGUAGCCGACCUGAGAGGGUGACCGGCCACACUGGGACUGAGACACGGCCCAGACUCCUACGGGAGGCAGCAGUGGGGAAUAUUGCACAAUGGGCGAAAGCCUGAUGCAGCGACGCCGCGUGAGGGAUGACGGCCUUCGGGUUGUAAACCUCUUUCAGCAGGGACGAAGCGCAAGUGACGGUACCUGCAGAAGAAGCACCGGCUAACUACGUGCCAGCAGCCGCGGUAAUACGUAGGGUGCAAGCGUUGUCCGGAAUUACUGGGCGUAAAGAGUUCGUAGGCGGUUUGUCGCGUCGUUUGUGAAAACCAGCAGCUCAACUGCUGGCUUGCAGGCGAUACGGGCAGACUUGAGUACUGCAGGGGAGACUGGAAUUCCUGGUGUAGCGGUGAAAUGCGCAGAUAUCAGGAGGAACACCGGUGGCGAAGGCGGAUCUCUGGGCAGUAACUGACGCUGAGGAACGAAAGCGUGGGUAGCGAACAGGAUUAGAUACCCUGGUAGUCCACGCCGUAAACGGUGGGCGCUAGGUGUGGGUUCCUUCCACGGAAUCCGUGCCGUAGCUAACGCAUUAAGCGCCCCGCCGGGGGAAAUUACGGG